ACGGGGGGAGCAAGCGUUGUUCGGAUUUACUGGGCGUAAAGGGCGCGUAGGCGGUCAGCACAAGUCAGUUGUGAAAUCUCCGGGCUUAACUCGGAAAGGUCAACUGAUACUGUGCGACUAGAGUGCAGAAGGGGCAACUGGAAUUCUCGGUGUAGCGGUGAAAUGCGUAGAUAUCGGGAGGAACACCUGUGGCGAAAGCGGCGCACUGGACCACAACUGACGCUGAGGCGCGAAAGCUAGGGGAGCAAACAGGA
Molecule: ribosomal RNA, 254 nt
Filed under: uncultured prokaryote
Description: partial 16S ribosomal RNA
Rfam family: Bacterial small subunit ribosomal RNA
Source: RNAcentral